UCACUCAGGUAAGUAAGUUCGUAAGCAUGAAAAUUCCAAUCAUUCAAAUUUUAUUUAAGUACAUAUAUCAAAGACUUCACAAACACUGGUAGAUCUUGUAGUGAACAAAUUGAAAGUCGCGUGCUCAAAUAUUGAUAAAAAAUAUCAUUUUGAUACCUAGUAUUACCGAUUAUUAUUGAAUUAGCAAGAUGAAAGUUACAUUCGUUAUUACAAUUUCGGCAUUCAUUUUUUGUAUUUUGCUGCUCACAAUCAGUGCAUCAAAAAUCAGAGAAACACAUGCUGAUGAUCGUCGUCGUGAUGCUCGUGCUAUGGAAUCGAACGACACAAAACCAGCAUUACCCUGUAUUGCUAGCAUCAUAUGUAUUGGCCGUCUAUUAUUUCCCUUUACCAUUGGGUGAAGGUAUCUCAGCCAUAUUUUCUACCAUUGUCAAAUUGGUAACACUGCGCCACCCGCAGUUUUCUGAUAGGUAAAUUUCACGAAUGUGUUGUUGAUUUACUGUUAUUUACUGAAAAUAAUUCAAGUUUUUAAAAUAGGUUAAAAUUAUGGAGUAAUGACAGGUUAGCUUUUAACGUUACUUAAUUUAUUUUUACAUUGCCCAUUAUGUUAUUUUGACCAAAUAGUUUGACUAUUGAAUCUCCUAAAGGUGAAAUAUAGUCCCAAUCAAAUAAAUUGUAAUUUUUAUCCAUCUUUCA
Long non-coding RNA from Planococcus citri (citrus mealybug), 693 nucleotides. RefSeq lists it as uncharacterized. The record is from RefSeq and is a predicted model, not a curated record. NCBI's taxonomy places the organism in Eukaryota, Metazoa, Arthropoda, Insecta, Hemiptera, Pseudococcidae. The transcript is spliced from 2 exons.